This 107-nucleotide small nucleolar RNA is filed under the name Glycine max (soybean). RNAcentral's name for it is "Plant small nucleolar RNA R71". It matches the Rfam family "Plant small nucleolar RNA R71". From Rfam's summary of the family: R71 is a member of the C/D box family of snoRNAs containing the C (UGAUGA) and D (CUGA) box motifs. Multiple nearly identical copies of this snoRNA have been identified in Arabidopsis, and it is thought to function as a 2'-O-ribose methylation guide for 18S ribosomal RNA. The record is from Rfam by way of RNAcentral. Lineage: Eukaryota; Viridiplantae; Streptophyta; Magnoliopsida; Fabales; Fabaceae.
AUCUGGUGGUGAAGGCAGCUGGCACAUAAUUUCUUGAACCUCUCUUAGUAAUCAUAUAAGCUCUCUCCACUGAGUUGUCUAAUGCCUGAAAUAUCCUUUCUAAUGGU